Molecule: ribosomal RNA, 254 nt
Filed under: uncultured bacterium
Lineage: Bacteria
Description: partial 16S ribosomal RNA
Rfam family: Bacterial small subunit ribosomal RNA
Source: RNAcentral
UACGUAGGGGGCGAGCGUUGUCCGAAGUUACUGGGCGUAAAGCGCGCGUAGGCGAUUUCUUAAGUCUGGUGUGAAAGGUUCAGGGCUCAACCCGAACAGUGCACUGGAUACUGGGAGACUUGAGUAUGGGAGAGGAGAGCGGAAUUCCUGGUGUAGCGGUGAAAUGCGUAGAUAUCAGGAGGAACACCGAUGGCGAAGGCAGCUCUCUGGCCUGUAACUGACGCUGAGGUGCGAAAGCGUGGGGAGCAAACAGG